Molecule: transfer RNA, 91 nt
Filed under: Mycoplasmopsis cynos
Lineage: Bacteria; Bacillati; Mycoplasmatota; Mycoplasmoidales; Metamycoplasmataceae
Description: tRNA-Ser
Rfam family: tRNA
About the family: Transfer RNA (tRNA) molecules are approximately 80 nucleotides in length. Their secondary structure includes four short double-helical elements and three loops (D, anti-codon, and T loops). Further hydrogen bonds mediate the characteristic L-shaped molecular structure. tRNAs have two regions of fundamental functional importance: the anti-codon, which is responsible for specific mRNA codon recognition, and the 3' end, to which the tRNAs corresponding amino acid is attached (by aminoacyl-tRNA synthetases). tRNAs cope with the degeneracy of the genetic code in two manners: having more than one tRNA (with a specific anti-codon) for a particular amino acid; and 'wobble' base-pairing, i.e. permitting non-standard base-pairing at the 3rd anti-codon position.
Source: RNAcentral
GGGUGAUUACCCAAGUCCUACUGAAGGGAGCAGUCUUGAAAACUGUAAGAGCUUUCACGGCGCGGGGGUUCAAAUCCCUCAUCACCCGCCA